RNAcentral lists this unclassified non-coding RNA (253 nucleotides) under uncultured Phycisphaeraceae bacterium. RNAcentral describes it as "contains 16S-23S intergenic spacer region". It matches the Rfam family "Bacterial small subunit ribosomal RNA", at positions 524 to 776 of the family's 1533-position model. The record is from RNAcentral. Lineage: Bacteria; Pseudomonadati; Planctomycetota; Phycisphaerae; Phycisphaerales; Phycisphaeraceae.
CACGAAGGGUCCGAGCGUUGCGCGGAAUCACUGGGCUUAAAGCGUGCGUAGGCGGGAGCGUAAGUGUCUUGUGAAAUCCCACUGCUCAACAGUGGAACUGCAGGGCAUACUGCGUUUCUUGAGGCCGGCAGAGGGUGUCGGAACUGUAGGUGUAGCGGUGAAAUGCGUAGAUAUCUACAGGAACGCCAAUGGUGAAGACAGACACCUGGGCCGGAACUGACGCUGAGGCACGAAAGCGUGGGUAGCGAACAGG